Molecule: long non-coding RNA, 857 nt
Organism: Cornus florida
Lineage: Eukaryota; Viridiplantae; Streptophyta; Magnoliopsida; Cornales; Cornaceae
Exons: 2
Source: RefSeq, a predicted model, not a curated record
UGUAAUGUAAUUAUGGUAUGUAUAUAUAUUUGUGCGUGGUGGUGAGAAUUUAAAAAAAAAGAAAAAAAAAAAAGAAAAAGGAGAAGGAAAAAGGGUGGGACCCACACCCCUUUUAAGUGGUUGUAAGACCACAUUUGAUCUUAGUUUUUCCAUCUGCUCUCUCUCCCUGUCUUCCUCUCGGUUCUUUUUUUUUUUUUUUUUUUUUUAUUUCAAGCUUCCACUCUUGAUUUCUCCCUCAUUUUUUAGUAUUUUUAAGAGCCGUUUGCGGCUAUUCGAAGCCCACGAUGAGAUCAACAAGUUGAUGGGAGCAAUUCCUUGGUUGGUGCACUAUAAGAGAUUCGAAAAUCCUAGGAUUUGAGGUGAAGAAAUUGGGGGUUUUGCAUACAAGUGAGGAAACGGGAAAGAAGUGGCGGAUGAUGUACCACCACAGGCCUAAUUUGGAUUAGAAGACCUUUUUGCUAUUUUUGUAUUAAGUCCCAUAUUUUUUGUAAAACCUUAGUUUGAUAUAUUUAGUAUAGAGAUUUGUAGACUCUUACUAUUAUAGUUAUACUCAUGAGCUGUAAUUUUAUUAUAAAUUGUCUAAACAUAGUAAGACAUGGACGUUUGAACUUAAUUAUAUUUUUGGGACUGUAAUUAUGAUAUUUGGAUUAAAUAGCAUGUAGUUGUUCCACUAUAAACUGAACUAUGUUGAGAUAUAAUGAAUGGAUGAAUGGGAUGCUGGAAUAUAUUAAUUGUAUUAUGUGUUGGGACAGGUCGGAUAUGUCUUGAAAGGCCAAGAAGGGCCAUUGCGUUUUUUUUUAGCAGGUGGUUAUAGGCCCCUUUUUAAGGGAGGUCAUGUCAAAUUUUUUUUUUUUAAA